UUGAACGCUGGCGGCAGGCUUAACACAUGCAAGUCGAGCGGAGAGAGGUAGCUUGCUACUGAUCUUAGCGGCGGACGGGUGAGUAAUACUUAGGAAUCUGGCUAUUAGUGGGGGACAACAUUUCGAAAGGGAUGCUAAUACCGCAUACGUCCUACGGGAGAAAGCAGGGGAUCUUCGGACCUUGCGCUAAUAGAUGAGCCUAAGUCGGAUUGGCUAGUUGGUGGGGUAAAGGCCUACCAAGGCGACGAUCUGUAGCGGGUCUGAGAGGAUGAUCCGCCACACUGGGACUGAGACACGGCCCAGACUCCUACGGGAGGCAGCAGUGGGGAAUAUUGGACAAUGGGGGGAACCCUGAUCCAGCCAUGCCGCGUGUGUGAAGAAGGCCUUAUGGUUGUAAAGCACUUUAA
RNAcentral lists this ribosomal RNA (407 nucleotides) under uncultured bacterium. RNAcentral describes it as "bacterial SSU rRNA". It matches the Rfam family "Bacterial small subunit ribosomal RNA", at positions 30 to 438 of the family's 1533-position model. The record is from RNAcentral.